CAGAGAGUAGUUUAAUUAAAAUAUUAAUUUUGGAGAUUAAUGAUAGAGGUGUACUUUUUCUCUGA
This 65-nucleotide transfer RNA is filed under the name Adoretus sp. ADO01. RNAcentral's name for it is "tRNA-Pro". The record is from RNAcentral. Lineage: Eukaryota; Metazoa; Arthropoda; Insecta; Coleoptera; Scarabaeidae.